Equus caballus (horse) is the source of this 1838-nucleotide long non-coding RNA. The record is from Ensembl. Lineage: Eukaryota; Metazoa; Chordata; Mammalia; Perissodactyla; Equidae.
UGCCCCCUGCAUUGUCCGGGAAUGUGGAUGCAGUAGUCAUGCAGUGGAUGUAGUGUCCCACAAGUUAGAUGUAGCAUGUUGUGACGGAGGAUGCAGUGCCCAUGAAGGUGGAUGCAGUGAUCCUGCAGUGGUUGCAGAGCCCCAUGCAUUUUACCUGAAUGUGGAUGCAGUGCUCAUGCAGUGGAUGCAGUGUCCCACAAUGUGGAUGACUUAUGUUGUGAUGGAGGAUUCAGUGAUCAUGAAGGAGGAUGCAGUGAUCCUGCAGUCAUUGCAGUGCAACUGCAUUGCCACUUCAGCUGGCUGCAGUGUCUCUGAAGUGGCAGCAGUGCCCUUUUCUAUGUCCCUGAGUGUGGAUACAGUGCACAUGCAGUGGAUGCCACGUACCAAAAUUUGUUACAAUAUGUUGUGACAGAGGAUGCAGUACCCACGAGUUGGAUGGAGUGAACAGACUGUGAGUGCAGUACACCUUCAGUGCAACUUCAGCUGGAUGCAGUGUUGCAGCAGUGGUUGCAGUGCACCCUGCAUUGUCCAGGAAUGUGGAUGCAGUGCCUAGGCAGUGGAUGCAGUGUCCCACAAGGUGGAUGCAGUAUGUUAUGACGGAUGAUGCAGUUCUCAUGAAGGUGGAUCCAGUGUCCCUGCAGUGCUUGCAGUGCCUGCCACACUGUCCGGGAAUGUGGAUUCAGUAGUCAUGCAGUGGAUGCAGUGUCCCACAAGGUGGAUGCAGUAUGUUGUGAUGGAGUAUGAAAGGCCCACGAAGGUGGAUGCAGUGAUGAUGCAGUGGUUGCAGUGCCCCCUACAGUUCCCUGAAUGUGAAUGCAGUGCUCAUGCAGUAGUUGCAGUGUCCCACAAUGUGGAUGUCUUAUGUUGUGAUGGAAAAUGCAGUGCACACGCAGGUGGAUGCAGUGAGCGUGUGCUGAAUGCAGUGUGCCAGCAGUGAGACCUCAGCUGUACACAGUGACCCUGCAGUGGUUGCAGUGCCAAUUGCAUUGUCCCAGAACGUGGAUGCAGUGCCCAGGCAUUGGGUGCAGUGUCCCUCAAGGUGGAUGAAGUAUGUUGUGACAGAGGAUGCAGUGUCCAUGAAGGUGGAUGUAAUGUCCCUGCAGUGGUUGCAGUGCCCCCAUCAUUGUCCUGGAAUUUGGAUGCAGUGGUCAUGCAGUGGAUGCAUUAUCUCACAAGGCGGAUGCAGUAUGUUUUCUCGGAGGAUGCACUGCCAAUGAAGGUGGAUGCGGUGAACCUGCAGUGGUUGCAGUGUCCCCUACAGUUUCCCUGAAUUUGGAUGCAGUGCUCAUGUAGUUCAUGCAGUGUCAUACUAGGUGGAUGCCGUAUGUUGUGACGGAGGCAGUGCCCACAAGGGUUGAUGCAGUGAGCCUGCAGUGAUUGCAGUGCGCCUGCAGUGCCACUUCAGCUGGAUGCAGUGGUUGCUGAGCCAACUUCAGUGUCCCUGAACGUGGAUGCAGUGCCCAUGCAGUGGAUGAAGUUUCCCACAAUGUGCACGCAGUAUGUUGUGACAGAGCAUGCAGUACCCAUCAAGGUGGAUGCAGUGAUCCUGCAGCGUUUGCAGUGCCCCCUGCAGUUUACCUGAAGGUGGAUGCAGUGCUCAUGCAUUCGAUGCAGUGUCCCUCAAGGUGGAUGCCUUAUGUUGUGAUGGACGAUUCAGUGAUCAUGAAGAAGGAUGCAGUGAUCCUGCAGUCAUUGCAGUGCACCUGCAGUGCCACUUCAGCAGGCUGCAGUGUCCCUGCAGUGGUUGCAGUGCCCUGUUCUGUGUCCCUGAAUGUGGAUGAAGUGCCCAUGCAGUGGAUGCAGAGUACCAAAAGUUGGUUGUCCUAUAUUAUGACAGA